Molecule: ribosomal RNA, 461 nt
Filed under: uncultured bacterium
Lineage: Bacteria
Description: partial 16S ribosomal RNA
Rfam family: Bacterial small subunit ribosomal RNA
Source: RNAcentral
CCUACGGGUGGCAGCAGUGAGGAAUAUUGGUCAAUGGGCGAGAGCCUGAACCAGCCAAGUCGCGUGAAGGAUGACGGCCCUACGGGUUGUAAAAUUCUGUUGUCAGGGAGCAAUUGGGUCCACGCGUGGGCUUAGCGAGAGUACCUGAAGAAAAAGCAUCGGCUAACUCCGGGCCAGCAGCCGCGGUAAUACGGAGGAUGAGAGCGUUAUCCGGAUUUAUUGGGGUUAAAGGGAGCGUAGAUGGGUUGUUAAGUCAGUUGUGAAAGUUUGCGGAUCAACCGUAAAAUUGCAAUUGAUACUGGCAGUCUUGAGUACAGUUGAGGUAGGCGGAAUUCGUGGUGUAGCGGUGAAAUGCUUAGAUAUCACGAAGAACUACGAGUGCGAAGGCAGCUUACUAAACUGCCACUGACAUUGAUGCUCGAAAGUGUGGGUAUCAAACAGGAUUAGAUACCCGUGUAGUC